Molecule: non-coding RNA, 24 nt
Filed under: Arabidopsis thaliana (thale cress)
Lineage: Eukaryota; Viridiplantae; Streptophyta; Magnoliopsida; Brassicales; Brassicaceae
Source: RNAcentral
UCAAUUAAGGUUGUAAAUGUUGGG